This 330-nucleotide unclassified non-coding RNA is filed under the name soil metagenome. Its description in RNAcentral is "partial contains 5.8S ribosomal RNA, internal transcribed spacer 2, and large subunit ribosomal RNA". The stretch from base 1 to 121 matches the Rfam family "5.8S ribosomal RNA", at positions 35 to 154 of the family's 154-position model. The record is from RNAcentral.
GAUGAAGAACGCAGCGAAUUGCGAUAAGUAAUGUGAAUUGCAGAUUUUCAGUGAAUCAUCGAAUCUUUGAACGCACAUUGCGCCCCUUGGUAUCCCGAGGGGCAUGCCUGUUCGAGCGUCAUUUCACCACUCAAGCCUGGCUUGGUGUUGGGCGACGUCCUCUUUGGGGACGCGCCUCGAAACGCUCGGCGGCGUGGCACCGGCUUUAAGCGUAGCAGAAUCUUUCGCUUUGGAAGUCGGGGCCCCGUCUGCCGGAAGACCUGCUCGCAAGGUUGACCUCGGAUCAGGCAGGGAUACCCGCUGAACUUAAGCAUAUCAAUAAGCGGAGGA